This 141-nucleotide ribosomal RNA is filed under the name Mycobacterium avium complex sp. RNAcentral describes it as "partial 16S ribosomal RNA". It matches the Rfam family "Bacterial small subunit ribosomal RNA", at positions 122 to 264 of the family's 1533-position model. Lineage: Bacteria; Bacillati; Actinomycetota; Actinomycetes; Mycobacteriales; Mycobacteriaceae. The record is from RNAcentral.
CAAUCUGCCCUGCACUUCGGGAUAAGCCUGGGAAACUGGGUCUAAUACCGGAUAGGACCUUUAGACGCAUGUCUUUUGGUGGAAAGCUUUUGCGGUGUGGGAUGGGCCCGCGGCCUAUCAGCUUGUUGGUGGGGUGAUGGC